Molecule: non-coding RNA, 2087 nt
Organism: Camelina sativa (false flax)
Lineage: Eukaryota; Viridiplantae; Streptophyta; Magnoliopsida; Brassicales; Brassicaceae
Source: RefSeq, a predicted model, not a curated record
AUUUAUUUAUAAUCUUUUACCAUUUAAAAUUAAUUAAAAAAAUAAGAUAGAGGAGAAUCUAAUAUAUCAAUAAUUUCUCGCCGUCGUCGUGUUCUCGUCGGAACCCAGUUCUACCAUCGCUUGCUCCAUCAUCGAUUAACCAAUUUUACGCAUCUAGGAGAUGUGUUGUACAUAAAAAAAGAGUUUCAUUUGGAGAGUAAUCCAUCAGUGCAAGGUCUAAUUGUGGUGAUGUCACUUGUUUUGCCAAAAACAUCUAGUGGAGUUGAUGGAAUUGGAGUAACAGAUGUGUGAGAAAAGCUCCAUUACUGUGUGAAAGACAGAGAAAUGUGAGUAAUGGUGGUGGUGAUGGAGGAAAGACAGAUAGGUUCUUCAAACUGCAGAAGAUGAAAGUGCCAGUCACUGCAGAACGUUAUGAAGCUAAUGAGCAAGUUUAUCCUAAAAUUUGUUUCUAGUUAUCACUCUUUUUAGAAUUUAUGAAUAUUUAGAAAAAUCUUCCUAAAAUUCAAGAAUGUCUUCCUAAAUAUUAAGAAAUUUUUCUUUAACAUUAUGAAAUCCUUCUUUUCUGAAAAAAAAGUUUUUGAGUCGUUUAAGAGUUUUAAACCCAUUGUGUUUGUGAUAUUGGUGGUAAUGGAAGUAGAACAAGGUUCUUUUCAAGAAAGAGAGAGAUAAGAGAACUUUAUCAAAAGUAAUGUCCAUUUGGAUGAUGUUUCUUUUUUCAAAUAAUUUAAACUUAAUGCUAUAUUUUUCACCAUAAAACUUGUUACUCACUCUGUUUAUAUAAGAUUUAUAGUUUUAUUAUCAUUUAUGAACAUUUAGGAAGGACUCAUUCCUUGAAAUUUAGGAAUGACUUUUUAAAGUAUAGGAAGACCUUCCUAAAAGUUGGACUUGAAAACACAUUUUUGCAUACUAUAAUGUUUACCUUUCUUGCAUAUAGAUAUUUAUUGCUAUAUUUUCACUUAAUGAAAAGUUUGGCUUAUUAGUUACGCGCUCUAUUUACAAAUACUAAAGGAACACGAGAUCGAGUUCUUGUAAGCGGUUGUAGCCGGUUAUUUGAAUUUUAAUCCUUUUUUUUUCAUGAAGGUUUUCUUGAAUUGAAAAGAGACCUUCAUGAAUAUUAUUGAAUCUUUCCUAAAACAUUUGUUUAUAUGACAGAUAUAUGAGUUAAUGUUAUUGAAUCCACCCUGAAUAUAAUUGAGUCAUUUCUUAAUUCUUUUCAACCAUUAUGAAAUUUAUUUAGAAAACACUUUAAAUAUGUAAUUUUCAUAUAAUCUUAUGAGACAUUAUUUUCAUGAAGACUAUCCUGAAAUGCAAGGAAUCAUUCACAAAUAUUAUUGAAUCCUUCUUAAAUUUUUAAAACAAAGUGUUUUUUACUUAGGGAUAACACAGUACAGUAGGGAUUCUGAUUUAUUGUGAGAAGAUGAUAAUGACUUCAUCAUUUAUAAAGUAAUUCAAUUUUUGUUUGUUUAUCCACUAAUAAAGUUUGAUGCUAGAAAGACAAAACAAGCAAACAGGAAAGAUUGAUCUGAUGAAGAAGAAACAUGACAACUGUUCCGGUUUUAUCCCCUGAUCGAGGAGCUGCUUGAGAAACUCCUGAAAGGCGAUCUAUCUAAAAGCAACAAUCUAUGUAUGAACCAGUCAAGUCAUAAGGAGGAGAGUGAACCAAAAACAGGAUCAGUAAGGAAGAGUUCUGCUCCCGCAGCGGUUCCAGAGCGAAAAGCCACCCCUCAUUCUAUGAGAUCAAGAAGAAUUGCAACAUGGGGGCGUCCUCAGACUUCUGACGAUUGAUACUCCAGUGACUCAGUGUUGAAAAUUGCUUCUACGGACUUCAAGAAGCUGGGGCAACACAUCUUUGUAUUCAUUAUUGGUGGGGCAACUCGAUCCGAGCUCCGAGUUUGCCACAAGUUGACAAGCACUUUGAGGAGAGAAGUGGUAUUAGCCUCCACUAGUUUCGACAAUCCCCCACAGUACAUCACGAAGCUGAAAUUGCUGUCGGAAAAAGACAUAGAAGGGGCUCCUACUCAGCCCUUCAAACCACAAUACUGGUGAAUUUGACACGGCUUGCGUCUCAAAAUGUUUUUAGUUGAAGA